GGAGAGGUGACAGAGUGGCCGAUUGUGCACGCUUGGAAAGCGUGUGUGCCUUCACCGGUACCGUGGGUUCGAAUCCCACCCUCUCCGCCA
Molecule: transfer RNA, 90 nt
Filed under: Planctomycetota bacterium
Lineage: Bacteria; Pseudomonadati; Planctomycetota
Description: tRNA-Ser
Rfam family: tRNA
About the family: Transfer RNA (tRNA) molecules are approximately 80 nucleotides in length.
Source: RNAcentral